GAUGAACGCUGGCGGCGUGCCUAAUACAUGCAAGUCGAGCGAACGGACGAGAAGCUUGCUUUUCUGAUGUUAGCGGCGGACGGGUGAGUAACACGUGGAUAACCUACCUAUAAGACUGGGAUAACUUCGGGAAACCGGAGCUAAUACCGGAUAAUAUUUUGAACCGCAUGGUUCAAAAGUGAAAGACGGUCUUGCUGUCACUUAUAGAUGGAUCCGCGCUGCAUUAGCUAGUUGGUAAGGUAACGGCUUACCAAGGCAACGAUGCAUAGCCGACCUGAGGGGGUGAUCGGCCACACUGGAACUGAGACACGGUCCAGACUCCUACGGGAGGCGGCAGUAGGGAAUCUUCCGCAAUGGGCGAAAGCCUGACGGAGCAACGCCGCGUGAGUGAUGAAGGUCUUCGGAUCGUAAAACUCUGUUAUUAGGGAAGAACAUAUGUGUAAGUAACUGUGCACAUCUUGACGGUACCUAAUCAGAAAGCCACGGCUAACUACGUG
RNAcentral lists this ribosomal RNA (497 nucleotides) under uncultured bacterium. RNAcentral describes it as "partial 16S ribosomal RNA". It matches the Rfam family "Bacterial small subunit ribosomal RNA", at positions 28 to 507 of the family's 1533-position model. The record is from RNAcentral.